UACGGGGGGAGCAAGCGUUGUUCGGAUUUACUGGGCGUAAAGGGCGCGUAGGCGGUCGUGACAAGUCACUUGUGAAAUCUCCGGGCUUAACUCGGAGCGGUCAAGUGAUACUGUCGGACUAGAGUACAGAAGGGGCAACUGGAAUUCUCGGUGUAGCGGUGAAAUGCGUAGAUAUCGAGAGGGACACCUGCGGCGAAGGCGGGUUGCUGGGCUGAUACUGACGCUGAGGCGCGAAAGCCAGGGGAGCGAGCGGG
RNAcentral lists this ribosomal RNA (254 nucleotides) under uncultured bacterium. RNAcentral describes it as "partial 16S ribosomal RNA". It matches the Rfam family "Bacterial small subunit ribosomal RNA", at positions 524 to 776 of the family's 1533-position model. The record is from RNAcentral.